AACGAACGCUGGCGGCAGGCCUAACACAUGCAAGUCGAGCGAACCCUUCGGGGUUAGCGGCGGACGGGUUAGUAACGCGUGGGAAUAUACCCUUUGGUACGGAAUAGCCUCGGGAAACUGAGAGUAAUACCGUAUGUGCCCUUCGGGGGAAAGAUUUAUCGCCAAAGGAUUAGCCCGCGUUGGAUUAGAUAGUUGGUGGGGUAAUGGCCUACCAAGUCUACGAUCCAUAGCUGGUUUGAGAGGAUGAUCAGCAACACUGGGACUGAGACACGGCCCAGACUCCUACGGGAGGCAGCAGUGGGGAAUCUUAGACAAUGGGCGCAAGCCUGAUCUAGCCAUGCCGCGUGGACGAUGAAGGCCUUAGGGUUGUAAAGUCCUUUCAGAUGGGAAGAUAAUGACGGUACCAUCAGAAGAAGCCCCGGCUAACUCCGUGCCAGCAGCCGCGGUAAUGUCUGUACU
This 459-nucleotide ribosomal RNA is filed under the name uncultured bacterium. RNAcentral's name for it is "bacterial SSU rRNA". It matches the Rfam family "Bacterial small subunit ribosomal RNA", at positions 29 to 531 of the family's 1533-position model. The record is from RNAcentral.